GACGAACGCUGGCGGCGUGCUUAACACAUGCAAGUCGAACGGAAAGGCCCUGCUUUUGUGGGGUGCUCGAGUGGCGAACGGGUGAGUAACACGUGAGUAACCUGCCCUUGACUUUGGGAUAACUUCAGGAAACUGGGGCUAAUACCGGAUAGGAGCUCCUGCUGCAUGGUGGGGGUUGGAAAGUUUCGGCGGUUGGGGAUGGACUCGCGGCUUAUCAGCUUGUUGGUGGGGUAGUGGCUUACCAAGGCUUUGACGGGUAGCCGGCCUGAGAGGGUGACCGGCCACAUUGGGACUGAGAUACGGCCCAGACUCCUGCGGGAGGCGGCAGUGGGGAAUAUUGCACAAUGGGCGGAAGCCUGAUGCAGCAACGCCGCGUGCGGGAUGAAGGCCUUCGGGUUGUAAACCGCUUUCGCCUGUGACGAAGCGUGAGUGACGGUAAUGGGUAAAGAAGCACCGGCUAACUACGUG
This 468-nucleotide ribosomal RNA is filed under the name uncultured bacterium. Its description in RNAcentral is "partial 16S ribosomal RNA". It matches the Rfam family "Bacterial small subunit ribosomal RNA", at positions 28 to 507 of the family's 1533-position model. The record is from RNAcentral.